Molecule: ribosomal RNA, 253 nt
Filed under: uncultured bacterium
Lineage: Bacteria
Description: partial 16S ribosomal RNA
Rfam family: Bacterial small subunit ribosomal RNA
Source: RNAcentral
UACGGAGGGUGCAAGCAUUAAUCGGAUUUAUUGGGCGUAAAGGGCGCGUAGGCGGCAUGAAAAGUCAGAUGUGAAAUCCCGGGGCUCAACCCCGGAACAGCAUUUGAAACUGUCAUACUAGAGGGUAGGCGGAGAAAACGGAAUUCCACAAGUAGCGGUGAAAUGCGUAGAUAUGUGGAAGAACACCGGUGGCGAAGGCGGUUUUCUAGCUUAUUCCUGACGCUGAGGCGCGAAAGCAAGGGGAUCAAACAGG